Molecule: transfer RNA, 67 nt
Filed under: Hypsilurus papuensis
Lineage: Eukaryota; Metazoa; Chordata; Lepidosauria; Squamata; Agamidae
Description: tRNA-Ile
Source: RNAcentral
GGAAGCGUGCCCGAAAUAUAAGGAUUACUUUGAUAGAGUAGAUAUGGAGUUAACUACUCCCACUUCC